This 196-nucleotide ribosomal RNA is filed under the name uncultured bacterium. RNAcentral's name for it is "partial 16S ribosomal RNA". It matches the Rfam family "Bacterial small subunit ribosomal RNA", at positions 521 to 716 of the family's 1533-position model. The record is from RNAcentral.
UAAGACAGAGGGGGCAAGCGUUGCUCGGAAUUACUGGGCGUAAAGGGCGCGUAGGCGGAAUGGCAAGUCGGUCGUGAAAUCCUUCGGCUCAACCGAAGAACGUCGAUCGAAACUGCCGUUCUUGAGGAUUGCAGAGGAGACUGGAAUUCCCGGUGUAGCGGUGAAAUGUGUAGAGAUCGGGAGGAACACCGGUGGC